This 216-nucleotide unclassified non-coding RNA is filed under the name soil metagenome. Its description in RNAcentral is "partial contains 5.8S ribosomal RNA, internal transcribed spacer 2, and large subunit ribosomal RNA". The record is from RNAcentral.
AACAAGGCGUACCUGCGGACCUGCGGAAGGAUCAUUACAGAGUUGCAAAACUCCCUAAACCAUUGUGAACCUACCUUCUACCGUUGCUUCGGCGGGCGGGCCUAGCGCCCCCCCGGCCCCCCGCGGGCGCCCGCCGGAGGAUAACCAAACUCUUGACAUCAGUGGCCUCUCUGAGUAUUCUUUACUGAAUAAGUCAAAACUUUUAACAAUGGAUCU